This 953-nucleotide ribosomal RNA is filed under the name Bacteroidales bacterium. RNAcentral describes it as "partial 23S ribosomal RNA". It matches the Rfam family "Bacterial large subunit ribosomal RNA", at positions 1977 to 2925 of the family's 2925-position model. The record is from RNAcentral. Lineage: Bacteria; Pseudomonadati; Bacteroidota; Bacteroidia; Bacteroidales.
CAAGUUCCGACCUGCACGAAUCGUGUAACGAUCGCGGCACUGUCUCGAAGUGGAGCUCGGCGAAUUUGUAAUUCCGGUGAAAAUGCCGGAUACCUGCAGUAGGACGGAAAGACCCUGUGAACCUUUACUGUAAUCUGAUAUUGGUAUUCGGGCAAUCAUGUGUAGCAUAGGUGGGAGACUUCGAAGCCGCGGCGCCAGCCCCGGUGGAGUCUUCAGUGAAAUACCACCCUUGGUUGUUUGAAUCUCUAACCUUCUCCCGUCUAUCCGGGUAAGGGACCGUGUCAGAGGGUCAGUUUGACUGGGGCGGUUUCCUCCAAAAUUGUAACGGAGGAGCACGAAGGUACAUUCAGCACGGUUGGCAAUCGUGCUUAGAGCGUAAGGGCAUAAAUGUGCUUGACUGCGAGACUUACAAGUCGAGCAGAUGCGAAAGCAGGUCCUAGUGAUCCAGCGAUGGAACGUGGAAUCGUCGUUGCUCAACGGACAAAAGGUACUCCGGGGAUAACAGGCUGAUAGCGCCCAAGCGUCCAUAGCGACGGCGCUGUUUGGCACCUCGAUGUCGGCUCAUCUCAUCCUGGGGCUGUAGAAGGUCCCAAGGGUCCGGCUGUUCGCCGGUUAAAGAGGUACGCGAGCUGGGUUCAAAACGUCGCAAGACAGUUUGGUCCUUAUCCACUGCGGGCGCAGGACAUUUGACAAGAUCAUUCCUUAGUACGAGAGGACCGGGAAUGACUGACCUCUGGUAUUCCAGUUGUCUCUAAAGAGGCAGCGCUGGGUAGCUACGUCGGGAAAGGAUAAGCGCUGAAAGCAUCUAAGCGCCAAGCCCCCUUGAAGAUGAGAUGUCCCUGGAUCUUUGAUCCCUGAAGACCACUUGAAGACCACAAGUUCGAUAGGAUGCACGUGUAAGGGCAGCAAUGCCUUCAGCUUAGCAUUACUAACCGGUCGUGAGGCUUGACCAC